This 18-nucleotide small nuclear RNA is filed under the name Arabidopsis thaliana (thale cress). Its description in RNAcentral is "snRNA_00583". Lineage: Eukaryota; Viridiplantae; Streptophyta; Magnoliopsida; Brassicales; Brassicaceae. The record is from RNAcentral.
AACAGUCAGCUCAGAACU